RNAcentral lists this ribosomal RNA (917 nucleotides) under Klebsiella pneumoniae. RNAcentral's name for it is "partial 23S ribosomal RNA". It matches the Rfam family "Bacterial large subunit ribosomal RNA", at positions 315 to 1238 of the family's 2925-position model. Lineage: Bacteria; Pseudomonadati; Pseudomonadota; Gammaproteobacteria; Enterobacterales; Enterobacteriaceae. The record is from RNAcentral.
AAUCAGCUUGUGUGUUAGUGGAACGGUCUGGAAAGUCCGACGGUACAGGGUGAUAGUCCCGUACACCAAAAUGCACAGGCUGUGAACUCGAAGAGUAGGGCGGGACACGUGGUAUCCUGUCUGAAUAUGGGGGGACCAUCCUCCAAGGCUAAAUACUCCUGACUGACCGAUAGUGAACCAGUACCGUGAGGGAAAGGCGAAAAGAACCCCGGCGAGGGGAGUGAAAAAGAACCUGAAACCGUGUACGUACAAGCAGUGGGAGCACCUUCGGGUGUGACUGCGUACCUUUUGUAUAAUGGGUCAGCGACUUAUAUUCUGUAGCAAGGUUAACCGUAUAGGGGAGCCGCAGGGAAACCGAGUCUUAACUGGGCGUUAAGUUGCAGGGUAUAGACCCGAAACCCGGUGAUCUAGCCAUGGGCAGGUUGAAGGUUGGGUAACACUAACUGGAGGACCGAACCGACUAAUGUUGAAAAAUUAGCGGAUGACUUGUGGCUGGGGGUGAAAGGCCAAUCAAACCGGGAGAUAGCUGGUUCUCCCCGAAAGCUAUUUAGGUAGCGCCUCGUGAAUUCAUCUUCGGGGGUAGAGCACUGUUUCGGCUAGGGGGUCAUCCCGACUUACCAACCCGAUGCAAACUACGAAUACCGAAGAAUGUUAUCACGGGAGACACACGGCGGGUGCUAACGUCCGUCGUGAAGAGGGAAACAACCCAGACCGCCAGCUAAGGUCCCAAAGUCAUGGUUAAGUGGGAAACGAUGUGGGAAGGCACAGACAGCCAGGAUGUUGGCUUAGAAGCAGCCAUCAUUUAAAGAAAGCGUAAUAGCUCACUGGUCGAGUCGGCCUGCGCGGAAGAUGUAACGGGGCUAAACCAUGCACCGAAGCUGCGGCAGCGACACUAUGUGUUGUUGGGUAGGGGAGCG